GCAAGUCGAGCGGAGAUUGAAAAUCGUGGCUUGCCACAAAUUUUAAUCUUAGCGGCGGACGGGUGAGUAACGCGUGGGCAACCUGCCUUGUACAGGGGGAUAACAUCGGGAAACUGGUGCUAAUAUCGCAUAAUAUCAUUGGAUAGCAUUUUCUAAUGAUCAAAGGAGUAAUCCGGUACAAGAUGGGCCCGCGUCCGAUUAGCUAGUUGGUAAGGUAAUGGCUUACCAAGGCGACGAUCGGUAGCCGAACUGAGAGGUUGAUC
This 263-nucleotide ribosomal RNA is filed under the name uncultured bacterium. RNAcentral's name for it is "partial 16S ribosomal RNA". It matches the Rfam family "Bacterial small subunit ribosomal RNA", at positions 57 to 305 of the family's 1533-position model. The record is from RNAcentral.